This 2062-nucleotide long non-coding RNA is filed under the name Felis catus (domestic cat). RNAcentral describes it as "lncRNA (ENSFCAG00000041425.2)". The record is from RNAcentral. Lineage: Eukaryota; Metazoa; Chordata; Mammalia; Carnivora; Felidae.
CACACUCCAGGAUCCGGGGGCUCCUUUUCCCCGGGUGUUCACUCUGUCUACUGGCAGGGGGGCGGGCGGGCUGGAAGAGGAUGGGCCCCCCACACAUCCAUGAGCCCAGAACAAGGGCCGGGCUGGGGACCACGGGACCACGAACGGGUCCUGUGGCCCAGGUCUGAUGCUGAUCAGAGAGUGAGCAGGAGAAAGCAGGGCCCGCUUUAGGAGCCACACGCUGUUCUCGAGAUUGACAAUCUGCUCCAUCCUGCGUUACUGUCCCAACCCAGCGGCGAGGUGGCUGCUGUCACCCCCAGGUUACAGACGGCAAGUGAGUCAACAGAUGGCAUCAAAGCGGAAUGCUGGGACUACUUCCUCCUUCAACCCCAGAGCAGACCCAGCUCCCAAGUGCCCUGUGAUCACAGCUGUGAAGAGCAUGCUCUUGGCAGGACGCCACAAGGAUGACAAGUGUUGUCCUUGACUUUGUCACACUGACGUGUUGUAACGCCCAGAGACAGUUCAAGGCACUGGGCACCGUGAGCAGCACGUCCACACGCAGCCUCGUGCUAGGUGCUGUGGGGAAGUGGGGACAACAGGUGCACCCUGGCCACAAGCGACUCCCACUGCAGUCAGAAGAAGGAGUGAUCUGUAGAUGCCAUCAGCUCUUAGCGGACCCUCUCUGUGCCCUGCCUCUACCUUGCCUGAGCUUAAGUCUCAUCUCGGAUGCUUGGAUGCGGAUCCUUGGAUGCGGCAGCCAGGCCAGCUGGCACGACCAGCUGUGUGAGCCCAGGAAAGGUCUGAGAGGUUAAGAGGGAGAGGUCGUUCUGGCAUCAGGGGAGCCCAGUCCCCGCAUCAACCAUCCUCGGUGGCCAUCGGCCUUGGCCAGCUUCUGCCGUUCUCAUAGCCUGUUUCUGAGGUCCGUGGCUGCCUCGUUCUCUUGUUCUCUUUCACAAGGUCCUCCUGGCCUGGGUCUGGGCUCUCUGGGUCCUGCAGCCCUCCAUCGGCAGCUGCCCACACCUCAGGGGGCUUGGGUUCCCACCCAAAGCUUCCCAGACAGGUGCCAAGCAGGGGUGCACAAGACCGAGGCUGAGAGAUCCCUCGAGAAGCCACUCUGUGCUCUGCAGCCCCAGGGCUUCCUCCCGUGCCGGUCAUGGGCACAGAAGCAAGGCAUGGUUGUCUCGGCUGGCCCCUCACAUUCAUCUAGGGCUGUUCUCACACUCCCACCCACUGUCCACCUCUCCCCAAAGAGGCAGAGCAUUCUGGGUGCUAAAAGUCAGGCCUUACGACACCACGGGAGAAGGAAGAAAUGGCAUCGACCACGGUGGCCUUGCAAAGGAGACAUUCUCUUAUAAAGGAGACAUUCUCCGUCAUCCAGAAGAUGUAAUGCCACCCUGAAAGGUAGAGCCAUUCGUCCACACUCACACAGUCAACAAAUGUGACAACCAGGCAUCUCCCCAAACUCUGUUACCUCCUGCCUAUGUCAUGGACCACUGCACAUCCAUCAUGGUGUCCCCAACACAGCACAACCCUUCCCUGCGUACUGGGGGGGGGGUCCCCCUUCUGCACAGAUGCAGGCACUCUGCAUACCCCCUAUUACAUCAGAGUUAGCAGAAAGUGACCCAAAUGGAACGGCACACACCCCAUGGGCAGAAAAUGAGAUGUAAAAUCCUAUCGGUCCCUCUGACAGUUAAAGUAAAAUUUUAUGCGAGCAAUAUACUCUCGCUCUGAUUACCAUGCAGUAUAAUUUUAUUCUGGUUUUUCUGGGCCUGCUGAACCCCCUGCUCUUUUAAGUGUUCAAAUGCUCUGCUUGCCAAGAUAAAUGAUUAUAAUUGACAGGGCAUUGUCAAUCUAUAGCGAAGCCGAUUUCAUUAAGCAUGCCAAGGGCCAGCUCUGGGGGCAGGUAGCUGAGCGGAGAGGGGUUUUGAUCUCACCCUCUCCCUGUAGUACAGUCCACACUGGUACCAAAGGCUGGAGGGCAAGAGAACAAAGGAAACGUUAUGUCUCUGAAUUCAAAUCUUUCCCUUUGAAAUGAGGCGUCCGGAAUGGCCAAUAAAACUGUGGAAAUGGAUUUCUGGCUGCA